AAAAACUUUCAACAACGGAUCUCUUGGUUCCAGCAUCGAUGAAGAACGCAGCGAAAUGCGAUAAGUAAUGUGAAUUGCAGAAUUCAGUGAAUCAUCGAAUCUUUGAACGCACAUU
This 115-nucleotide ribosomal RNA is filed under the name Parmotrema sp. Hur PH0904-1. RNAcentral describes it as "5.8S ribosomal RNA". It matches the Rfam family "5.8S ribosomal RNA", at positions 1 to 112 of the family's 154-position model. From Rfam's summary of the family: 5.8S ribosomal RNA (5.8S rRNA) is a component of the large subunit of the eukaryotic ribosome. It is transcribed by RNA polymerase I as part of the 45S precursor that also contains 18S and 28S rRNA. Functionally, it is thought that 5.8S rRNA may be involved in ribosome translocation. RNAcentral also lists the same sequence under 2 other names. The record is from RNAcentral. Lineage: Eukaryota; Fungi; Ascomycota; Lecanoromycetes; Lecanorales; Parmeliaceae.